This 54-nucleotide transfer RNA is filed under the name Liposcelis sculptilimacula. RNAcentral's name for it is "tRNA-Glu". Lineage: Eukaryota; Metazoa; Arthropoda; Insecta; Psocodea; Liposcelididae. The record is from RNAcentral.
CCUAUUUGUUUAGUUUAAAAUUUAAAACUUUCAUUUUGAAAAUGAUAAAUAAUU